GAUGAACGCUGACAGAAUGCUUAACACAUGCAAGUCAACUUGAACUUCGGUUUGGGUGGCGGACGGGUGAGUAACGCGUAAAGAACUUGCCUCACAGCUAGGGACAACAUUUGGAAACGAAUGCUAAUACCUGAUAUUAUGAUUUUAGGGCAUCCUAGGAUUAUGAAGGCUAUAUGCGCUGUGAGAGAGCUUUGCGUCCCAUUAGCUAGUUGGAGAGGUAACGGCUCACCAAGGCGAUGAUGGGUAGCCGGCCUGAGAGGGUGAUCGGCCACAAGGGGACUGAGACACGGCCCUUACUCCUACGGGAGGCAGCAGUGGGGAAUAUUGGACAAUGGACCAAGAGUCUGAUCCAGCAAUUCUGUGUGCACGAUGAAGUUUUUCGGAAUGUAAAGUGCUUUCAGUUGGGAAGAAAAAAAUGACGGUACCAACAGAAGAAGUGACGGCUAAAUACGUGCCAGCAGCCGCGGUAAUACGUAUGUCACAAGCGUUAUCCGGAUUUAUUGGGCGUAAAGCGCGUCUAGGUGGUUAUGUAAGUCUGAUGUGAAAAUGCAGGGCUCAACUCUGUAUUGCGUUGGAAACUGUGUAACUAGAGUACUGGAGAGGUAGGCGGAACUACAAGUGUAGAGGUGAAAUUCGUAGAUAUUUGUAGGAAUGCCGAUGGGGAAGCCAGCUUACUGGACAGAUACUGACGCUGAAGCGCGAAAGCGUGGGUAGCAAACAGG
This 722-nucleotide ribosomal RNA is filed under the name uncultured Fusobacterium sp. RNAcentral describes it as "bacterial SSU rRNA". It matches the Rfam family "Bacterial small subunit ribosomal RNA", at positions 28 to 776 of the family's 1533-position model. The record is from RNAcentral. Lineage: Bacteria; Fusobacteriati; Fusobacteriota; Fusobacteriia; Fusobacteriales; Fusobacteriaceae.